CCUGCAAUUUUUCACAGCAGAGGAUAAAAUUGCACUGCUACUAACCUAUGUCAAACUCACCAUCAUAGGAGUGAGCUGUUGGGAAAAAGAUAUAAAAGAAAGAAGAGGAGAGGUGUUGCACGUGAUGGAGAAGUCAGGGCCGCAAUUGUGGAAUUUUCAUGGGACACUUAUGGGCUUCCUGCAAAGGACAAGUGCUGCAAGCAUAAGCCAUCAACAACAGCAUGAUUCAGCUGCUUCAAUGACUUUCCUAUGGCUAUAAAAAGGAGAUGGAAAGCCGUGAACAAUCAUCAAGUUUCACUCUCUUUUCGCUCUUCAUUCUCGGCUAUCUCUCAUUUUUCCACCACCACAAUCCUCACUUCCUUUCUUGUCUGAACCUGUUUUGUGAGCUCCAUGAGCAUAGUUUGGAGCACCACCAUGGGAAGGAGGAAGUGACAGCCGCGAGCUCUCUCCCCCUCCCCUGUUUUCCGAUUACCUUUCCCGCCGCAAGAACCGCCGUGAACUUCAUCUUCGCCGAAAAAUUUCCAGAACUUGAUUUUGGAUACGAAGUGUGAGAAUGCGGUCAUGUUGGAGCUAAGGAAUGAAAGGAAAGCGAGCCGGUACGAGGAGCGAUGGCGUGAUUGAUCGAAGUCGCAACUUAGGAAAGAAAGUGUCUAAGGGUUGCUGCAAAAAGAGGGCAAGAAACCAACAUGGUGAGGUUGGAGCAGGACGUGUUGUUCCAGUCUUCCUCUUCAAUUUUCUGUUUAAAAUUAUGUUGUUUGGGAUUUUUUUUUUGUCAAGAAUUGUAUUUGGGAUUAUACUUGGAUUAAUUUGGUUUGUGUUAAUUAGAGUUGAAAUUGAGUUAAUUUAAAUGAAAAAAAAUUAACACCUAGCCUCAUUAAUCCCAUGUGGCCAUGCGGCAUGGGCCAUCGGAACUUCAGCGUUGACCUAGAGCUAUGGAGGGACCAAAACCAAACCUUUUGACGAAGGUAAGGGACUAAAUGC
This is a long non-coding RNA of Lotus japonicus, 981 nucleotides long. RefSeq lists it as uncharacterized. The transcript is spliced from 3 exons. Lineage: Eukaryota; Viridiplantae; Streptophyta; Magnoliopsida; Fabales; Fabaceae. The record is from RefSeq and is a predicted model, not a curated record.